GUACGCUGGCGGCACGCCUAACACAUGCAAGUCGAACGAAGUAGCAAUACUUAGUGGCAGACGGGUGAGUAACAUGUAGGUAUCUGCCCUUUGGCCUGGAAUAACACGAGGAAACUUGUGCUAAUACCGGAUAAGUCUUUACGGAGAAAGCUUUAUGCACCAUUGGAGGAGCCCGCACUUGAUUAGUUUGUUGGUAGGGUAAUGGCCUACCAAGACUAUGAUCAAUAGCUGAUUUGAGAGGAUGAUCAGCCACAUUGGGACUGAGACACGGCCCAAACUCCUACGGGAGGCAGCAGUGGGGAAUCUUGCACAAUGGAGGAAACUCUGAUGCAGCGAUGCCGCGUGAGUGAAGAAGGCCUUUGGGUUGUAAAGCUCUUUCGUCGGGGAAGAAAAUGACUGUACCCGAAUAAGAA
RNAcentral lists this ribosomal RNA (413 nucleotides) under uncultured bacterium. RNAcentral's name for it is "bacterial SSU rRNA". It matches the Rfam family "Bacterial small subunit ribosomal RNA", at positions 31 to 489 of the family's 1533-position model. The record is from RNAcentral.